CACAAUUUUACCGACCUCUUGGUUAUAAUGAUGUUCUCUGUGGAGCCAAAAUUUUCGCUAAUCGACAAAAUAACCACAAUAUGGGUCUCUAAACUCAAUCCGCUGCAAAAUAUUACACUUACGGCAAAAGUUGUGGGUGAUAAAGGCGGAGUGUUCGAGUCGCACGCGCACUUCAUCGCUGAUAAACAUGGCCAGGUUGACGUUGGUCGUGACCCGUCUGUGGGUGGAUCUUACAGCGGAGUUUCAGCCAUGGGACUGUUAUGGAGCAUGAAACCAGCACCAGGACAGAGAAAAGGAAUUCGACUGAUGAAAUAUGAUGUCACUAAACCGUAUAUUAUCGAACUGAAAUGUUUCAGUGAUCACGUAACUCUGAGCGAAACAUCCAAUCAACCCAUGGCUAUCACGACAUUUCUGAAGGGGUACAUGGCUAAUGGCGUGAGGCGAAUUCCUGUGAAAGAAGGAAGAAUCCGUGGAACAUUAUUUCUACCACCCGGUAAAGGACCAUUCCCAGGUAUCAUAGAUCUACUGGGCGGAGUCGGUGGACUGGUUGAAUACAAGGCUUGUCUUCUGGCUUCUCAUGGCUUUGCUGCACUAGCACUGGCUUACUUUGCAUACGACGAUCUUCCCGUCGAACCAGAAUACUUUAAUCUUGAUUAUUUUGCAGAGGCAGCAGAAUGGCUUCGCAAUUAUCCCAGUGUUGUGUCAAGUGGUGUGGGUUUGCACUCAAUCUGUAUGGGAAGCUGGCUUGCGCUUCUUCUUGCAAGCUACCGAAAUGACCUGGUAAAAGCUGUGGUAGCAAUAUCACCAUGGAAUGCUCCUUACUGGAAACCUUACCGAUAUAACGGUAAACUGUCAAAUGUAUUUCAAGUGGAAAAUGCGCAGAUGAAAGUAACUGAUGAAGGCAUCAUAUGGAAGAAUUGUGUUGCUCGUGCGAAAGAAACUGCUCUUGCUUCAGCCGAGCUACCAGCACUCACACCGGUCGAACGAAUCACUUGUCCUAUUUUGCUUGUUUACGGAACUGAUGAUCAGAAUAUUGAUUCGGAAUUUAUCACAAAUUGUAUAUCUGGAUGUCUGAAAGCAAAGGGAAAGGAAUCAUUUUGUACCAUUUUACGGCAGCACAAUGCUGGUCACAUAAUUGAACCCCCCUAUACUCCACUAUGUAAUGCAGCGUAUAUGAAGACAUUUAAGCAGCAUUGGGUGUAUGGUGGGGAUCCCAAGAACCACGCCUUAGCACAGGAAAACACGUAGAAAAAAAUUUUAAAUUUCCUGGGAAAAAAUCUAAGGACCUGUAAGAGCACUUUAUAGCUCAUUGGGUGUUCGGUGGGGAUCUCGAGGACCACGCCUUAGCACAGGAAACCACGUGGAAAAAGUUUAGAAUUCCUUGGACAAAAUUUAAAGACCUGUAAGGGCACUUUAUAGCGAGUACAAGAACACAAAAACGGUUCACUGAUAGGUUCUUCGCAGCUACAUCCAAUCUGUUGUAAUGGGGGUGCUAUUCUAGGUUGAUCAACAGAUUUUUAACUAAAAAUUCCAAUAUGGGUUUAUUCCAGAUUUAAAAUUUUUUGUCAGCGUGAAUCUUCGGCAACCGUUUCCAACGUUGUGCACCACUGGUUCGGUCGCGGUUUGUAAAAAUCUGAAUUAAAAAUGAAAAUAAAGCGAAGGGGAAAAGAAGAAUAAUGAACGAAACAACCACAUAAAAGGGCCGGAAACUUGUCAUAGCUAAGACACCUGCUCCAUCGUUAAUUUAUACGAUGACGCUGACAGAAUACACUUUUUUCGCUUGCUUCCGCUCGCCUUCGGUCGCUGUGGAAAAUCUGAAGGUGAAGUCAGGGCGAAGCUAGGUAAACCGUUUGAUUUUCUUCUAAGACAGCAUUGGUUUAGCUGUAAACUAACCACAUCGAAUCGUACGCACAGGAUAAAUGCAAAUUUCUACGAGGUCAAGAUAGCUACGGAAAAUCAGAAAAUACAAGAGUACAAUUCGGCAGAUUGAGUCAAAAUACAGUCAGCCUUUAAGAAAAACAACUCCAGCCAACAGAGAAUCAAGAGAGACUUUCCCAGGAAGUUAGCAGUGAUUUAUCAUCCAGAAAUCAUCGAACAAGAGCGCUUAAACUACCGAGAGAAAACAAAAGUAAAUUUAUUUGAUUUGAGAAAGAUUGGAUCGUAUACCAUGUUUUAAGCUUUUAAAAAAUAUUCUGGCUCGAGUGGUCAAAAAUUCUGGUGAUCAGAUGCUUUCAUCAGUUUGAUCCGGUCAGCCUUCUCGCUAACUGAAGUAAAUCCCUUGGCAAUUCUCGCGACGAGUUGUGACAGUCUGAGCGGCGGCCAUAUUGAUUUAUCUGGGUCGAAAAAUCAUAAACUUGGGCGAACAAUUUUUCCUCGAAAUCUUGAAUCGGAAUCUUCUGGCAGAACUGAAAAGCCUUCAACAAAGUGAAAAGGCUUUUAGCAACAUACCUAGGACUUGCGUUAAAGGGAAAAACGCAGUUGGAAUUCCUAGUUUAUAAUAUACUUCAUCCGUAGACUGAGUAAAGAGUCACCAAUAUG
This 2538-nucleotide unclassified non-coding RNA is filed under the name Stylophora pistillata. RNAcentral describes it as "acyl-coenzyme A thioesterase 1-like, transcript variant X4". Lineage: Eukaryota; Metazoa; Cnidaria; Anthozoa; Scleractinia; Pocilloporidae. The record is from RNAcentral.